This 260-nucleotide ribosomal RNA is filed under the name uncultured bacterium. RNAcentral's name for it is "partial 16S ribosomal RNA". It matches the Rfam family "Bacterial small subunit ribosomal RNA", at positions 522 to 776 of the family's 1533-position model. The record is from RNAcentral.
UAGGCGUAGGGUGCAAGCGUUGUCCGGGAAUUAUUGGGCGUAAAGAGCUCGUAGGCGGUUUGUCGCGUCUGACUGUGAAAACCCGAAGGCUUCAAACCUCGGGCCUGCAGUGGGUACGGGCAGACUAGAGUGCGGUAGGGGAGAUUGGAAUUCCUGGUGUAGCGGUGAAAUGCGCAGAUAUCAGGAGGAACACCGGUGGCGAAGGCGGGUCUCUGGGAAACAACUGACGCUGAGGAACGAAAGCGUGGGUAGCAAACAGG